UGGGGAAUCUUCGGCAAUGGGGGGAACCCUGACCGAGCAACGCCGCGUGAGUGAAGAAGGUUUUCGGAUCGUAAAGCUCUGUUGUUAAGGAAGAACGAGUGUGAGAAUGGAAAGUUCAUACUGUGACGGUACUUAACCAGAAAGGGACGGCUAACUACGUGCCAGCAGCCGCGGUAAUACGUAGGUCCCGAGCGUUGUCCGGAUUUAUUGGGCGUAAAGCGAGCGCAGGCGGUUAGAUAAGUCUGAAGUUAAAGGCAGUGGCUCAACCAUUGUAGGCUUUGGAAACUGUUUAACUUGAGUGCAGAAGGGGAGAGUGGAAUUCCAUGUGUAGCGGUGAAAUGCGUAGAUAUAUGGAGGAACACCGGUGGCGAAAGCGGCUCUCUGGUCUGUAACUGACGCUGAGGCUCGAAAGCGUGGGGAGCGAACAGG
RNAcentral lists this ribosomal RNA (429 nucleotides) under Bacteroidota bacterium. RNAcentral describes it as "Bacteroidetes bacterium partial 16S ribosomal RNA". It matches the Rfam family "Bacterial small subunit ribosomal RNA", at positions 355 to 776 of the family's 1533-position model. Lineage: Bacteria; Pseudomonadati; Bacteroidota. The record is from RNAcentral.